RNAcentral lists this ribosomal RNA (648 nucleotides) under uncultured bacterium. Its description in RNAcentral is "bacterial SSU rRNA". It matches the Rfam family "Bacterial small subunit ribosomal RNA", at positions 143 to 807 of the family's 1533-position model. The record is from RNAcentral.
AUAACAGUUGGAAACGGCUGCUAAUACCGCAUAAGCGCACAGUACCGCAUGGUACAGUGUGAAAAACUCCGGUGGUGUGAGAUGGACCCGCGUCUGAUUAGCUAGUUGGCAGGGCAACGGCCUACCAAGGCGACGAUCAGUAGCCGACCUGAGAGGGUGACCGGCCACAUUGGGACUGAGACACGGCCCAAACUCCUACGGGAGGCAGCAGUGGGGAAUAUUGCACAAUGGGGGAAACCCUGAUGCAGCGACGCCGCGUGAGCGAAGAAGUAUUUCGGUAUGUAAAGCUCUAUCAGCAGGGAAGAAGAAAUGACGGUACCUGACUAAGAAGCACCGGCUAAAUACGUGCCAGCAGCCGCGGUAAUACGUAUGGUGCAAGCGUUAUCCGGAUUUACUGGGUGUAAAGGGAGCGCAGGCGGAAGGCUAAGUCUGAUGUGAAAGCCCGGGGCUCAACCCCGGUACUGCAUUGGAAACUGGUCAUCUAGAGUGUCGGAGGGGUAAGUGGAAUUCCUAGUGUAGCGGUGAAAUGCGUAGAUAUUAGGAGGAACACCAGUGGCGAAGGCGGCUUACUGGACGAUAACUGACGCUGAGGCUCGAAAGCGUGGGGAGCAAACAGGAUUAGAUACCCUGGUAGUCCACGCCGUAAAC